GAUGAACGCUGGCGGCGUGCCUAAUACAUGCAAGUCGAGCGAACAGACGAGGAGCUUGCUCCUCUGACGUUAGCGGCGGACGGGUGAGUAACACGUGGAUAACCUACCUAUAAGACUGGGAUAACUUCGGGAAACCGGAGCUAAUACCGGAUAAUAUAUUGAACCGCAUGGUUCAAUAGUGAAAGACGGUUUUGCUGUCACUUAUAGAUGGAUCCGCGCCGCAUUAGCUAGUUGGUAAGGUAACGGCUUACCAAGGCAACGAUGCGUAGCCGACCUGAGAGGGUGAUCGGCCACACUGGAACUGAGACACGGUCCAGACUCCUACGGGAGGCAGCAGUAGGGAAUCUUCCGCAAUGGGCGAAAGCCUGACGGAGCAACGCCGCGUGAGUGAUGAAGGUCUUCGGAUCGUAAAAUCUCUGUUAUUAGGGAAGAACAAAUGUGUAAGUAACUAUGCACGUCUUGACGGUACCUAAUCAGAAAGCCACGGCUAACUACGUG
This 498-nucleotide ribosomal RNA is filed under the name uncultured bacterium. RNAcentral's name for it is "partial 16S ribosomal RNA". It matches the Rfam family "Bacterial small subunit ribosomal RNA", at positions 28 to 507 of the family's 1533-position model. The record is from RNAcentral.